GGGCAGCCACCGCCGAAUCCGGCCCCCUUCCCCAGGGCGUCCGGAACCGGGGACCCAGACGCGGCACCGGGGUGAAUCGGUCACCGCGCGGCGCGCACCGCGCCUCGCACCGACCGUAGGGCAGCCUUCCGAAUACGCCCGAACCCGACAGCUAACCCGGUAGGCGGUCCACGGAAGGAGCG
This 182-nucleotide small RNA is filed under the name Streptomyces fradiae. RNAcentral describes it as "c-di-AMP sequence". It matches the Rfam family "c-di-AMP riboswitch aptamer (ydaO/yuaA leader)". Rfam says of the family: This family represents a conserved RNA structure found upstream of the ydaO and yuaA genes in Bacillus subtilis and related genes in other bacteria. Lineage: Bacteria; Bacillati; Actinomycetota; Actinomycetes; Kitasatosporales; Streptomycetaceae. The record is from RNAcentral.